RNAcentral lists this long non-coding RNA (1311 nucleotides) under Takifugu rubripes (torafugu). RNAcentral's name for it is "lncRNA (ENSTRUG00000033003.1)". Lineage: Eukaryota; Metazoa; Chordata; Actinopteri; Tetraodontiformes; Tetraodontidae. The record is from RNAcentral.
AUGGCUUGUGAAAGGGAAUUUAGCACUCUAGAGAAAGAUAUGCUAGAAGCACUUUCCUCAGAAUAUCAAACGCAGCAGCUCGACAACAUGACAGAAAAAGAUCCAGAUUUGUGUCACAUGUCAGACACUGAAUUUCAGUCCCACGAUUGCAAAGAUGAUGCAUCUGGAGCCCAGCAGACACUCGCAGAGGCUGUGAAGGACAUACUCAACGAUCAGCCCGAGUACGUCUCAGUGAACUCACCAAACAUGUCAGAGUUUGAAUAUCAACUGUUGAAGUCCAGCAGUGCCAAGGAUCUUCAGAAGGUGGCCUCUGAGAUCAGUGCAGAGAUAGUACGGUCCAAGCACCGCCUCGUCUCACAGGCUAAUUCAAAAUGUUGGAAAAUGGUUGAAGAAAAACUCAAGGCCUUCUCCUUUUGUAAAUACGUCAAAGAGUCAAUUUUGAACUUGUGGGCGGCACUUAAGAAAAAAUGCAACCACUCAUCAAAUCAAGAGGAGGGACUACAGAAGGCCUUGGAGGAAGCAGAAUUGUUGGUGGAGUCAAUGUCCAAAGUUAAGGGAGGUAGGACGUUAGAUGAGAAGAAAAACUGUCAAGAAUUCUUCCAAAAAGCUGUCCAUAACUUUGAUACAGAGGCGCACAAAAAAAUCUGCAGCCAGCUAAGUGACAUUAUAUUACAGCACUUGGGUACUGAGAGAAACAUGAAAAACAACAUCAACAAACACAUGGACGCCUUUAUAAAAGAUAUGUAUAAAUUUGCCCAAGCUCAGACACAACAGCAGAAGGACCACGGAGUUGUACAAAUGGCACUGGAAAGGAUUGAGGAAGCUACCGACAAUCUUUCUAUAUCCCCUCUAUGGCUGCCUAAAGAAAGCCUCACCAGUGAAAGUGAUGAAGACGAUGCAGACAGCCUUCUACCCUCCUUAGAACCAUUUGAAGAGAGGAACCACAUUUCCAAUAACCUGGCAGUACAACUUACUUGCGAAAUGUUGGGCAAUCUGUUGCCUCAUGUGCCUGCAAAGACACUGAACGGCAUCAUCUCCAAAAUGAAGAUAAUGCUCAUGAAAGAAUUUGCAAGUGUGGAUAUUCCCUUCACAAUAACUGAAGACCACAUCAGACUAACUGUCAAGGCUGUGUUCAAAGAGCUGCGCGAGAAGAUGGGGAGGAAAGGCUGGAUAAGGCUAAACUUUGUGUUAGACUGGCAGUACGAUUCCAUCAUCAAAAGCACCAUGAAACAUCUGCAAGCUUGCCAAGAAAAGAAUAAAUUCAUAUCCUUUUUCAAGAAUAUCUUCAAGUUCAGAGCCUGGCCUGUUUAA